AAUGGGCGAAAGCCUGACGGAGCGACACCGCGUGCAGGAUGAAGGCCCUCGGGUUGUAAACUGCUGUCACGCCAUAGGAAUUCCCUGUCAUAAUAGUGCCAGGGUUGACCAAAGCGAAAGGAAGCACCGGCUAACUCCGUGCCAGCAGCCGCGGUAAGACGGAGGGUGCAAACGUUGUUCGGAAUCACUGGGCAUAAAGCGCACGUAGGCGGUCCACUAAGUCGAGUGUGAAAGCCCCCGGCUCAACCGGGGAAUUGCAUUCGAUACUGGUGGACUUGAGGACGGUUGGGGUGAGUGGAACUCCUGGUGGAGCGGUGAAAUGCGUAGAUAUCAGGAGGAACACCAGUGGCGAAAGCGGCUCACUGGACCGUAUCUGACGCUGAGGUGCGAAAGCUAGGGUAGCGAACGGGAUU
Molecule: ribosomal RNA, 413 nt
Filed under: uncultured Gammaproteobacteria bacterium
Lineage: Bacteria; Pseudomonadati; Pseudomonadota; Gammaproteobacteria
Description: bacterial SSU rRNA
Rfam family: Bacterial small subunit ribosomal RNA
Source: RNAcentral